GGCGUGGUAGCCAAGUGGUAAGGCAGUGGUCUGCAAAACCACUAUGCAGCGGUUCAAAUCCGCUCCACGCCU
Molecule: transfer RNA, 72 nt
Filed under: Candidatus Omnitrophota bacterium
Lineage: Bacteria; Pseudomonadati; Candidatus Omnitrophota
Description: tRNA-Cys
Rfam family: tRNA
About the family: Transfer RNA (tRNA) molecules are approximately 80 nucleotides in length. Their secondary structure includes four short double-helical elements and three loops (D, anti-codon, and T loops).
Source: RNAcentral